Molecule: ribosomal RNA, 350 nt
Filed under: Corynomalus laevigatus
Lineage: Eukaryota; Metazoa; Arthropoda; Insecta; Coleoptera; Endomychidae
Description: partial 12S ribosomal RNA
Source: RNAcentral
UUUAGUAGUAUGUAAAAAUUAAAAUUAGUAUUAGUUAUGUUCUUGAAAAUUAAAGAUUUUGGCGGUAUUUUAGUCUUUUCAGAGGAACCUGUUCUAUAAGUGAUAGUCCACGAUUAAUUUUACUUAUUUUAUUAAUUUGUAUAACGUCGUUAAUGAAUAUUCUAUAAGGAUCAUAAUAUUCAAUAAUUUUUAUAAAAAUAAAAAUCAGAUCAUGUUGCAGUUUAUAAAUAAGGAGAAAUGGGUUACAAUAUAUAAAUAUACACGGAUUAAAUAAUUGAAAAUUUUUAUAAAGGUGGAUUUGAAAGUAAUUAUAUAUAUAUAUAUAUAAUGAUUUGAGCUCUAAAAUAUGC